Molecule: ribosomal RNA, 398 nt
Filed under: Blautia massiliensis (ex Durand et al. 2017)
Lineage: Bacteria; Bacillati; Bacillota; Clostridia; Lachnospirales; Lachnospiraceae
Also listed under: 1 other name
Description: bacterial SSU rRNA
Rfam family: Bacterial small subunit ribosomal RNA
Source: RNAcentral
GGAGACUGCCAGGGAUAACCUGGAGGAAGGCGGGGAUGACGUCAAAUCAUCAUGCCCCUUAUGAUUUGGGCUACACACGUGCUACAAUGGCGUAAACAAAGGGAAGCGAACCUGCGAGGGUGGGCAAAUCCCAAAAAUAACGUCCCAGUUCGGACUGUAGUCUGCAACCCGACUACACGAAGCUGGAAUCGCUAGUAAUCGCGGAUCAGAAUGCCGCGGUGAAUACGUUCCCGGGUCUUGUACACACCGCCCGUCACACCAUGGGAGUCAGUAACGCCCGAAGUCAGUGACCUAACCGCAAGGAAGGAGCUGCCGAAGGCGGGACCGAUGACUGGGGUGAAGUCGUAACAAGGUAGCCGUAUCGGAAGGUGCGGCUGGAUCACCUCCUUUCUAAGGAA